This 418-nucleotide ribosomal RNA is filed under the name Polyphemus pediculus. RNAcentral describes it as "bacterial SSU rRNA". It matches the Rfam family "Eukaryotic small subunit ribosomal RNA", at positions 573 to 876 of the family's 1831-position model. Lineage: Eukaryota; Metazoa; Arthropoda; Branchiopoda; Diplostraca; Polyphemidae. The record is from RNAcentral.
GCCGCGGUAACUCCAGCUCCAAUAGCGUAUAUUAAAGUUGUUGCGGUUAAAAAGCUCGUAGUUGGAUUUCAGUUUUCGGCCGGGCCCCUUCCCGUUCAAAUACGGGCGGUGAAGGGGCCUUUGGAUCGUCGGUGUCAAAGCCGCGGUCUUUUAACGGUCGGACUAUACCACCGGAGUGGGAUUGGUCGUAUCUGCGCUCUUUCGUUUCGGCGUUGGGGUGCAGUUUACGGUCGCCCGCAUUUUACUGACUGGGGUGCCUUUAACCGGGUGUCCCAGCCAGCCGGUUACGUUUACUUUGAACAAAUUAGAGUGCUCAAAGCAGGUGCAUUUUCGCCUGAAUAUCACAGCAUGGAAUGAUGGAAUAGGACCUCGGUCUUAUUUUGUUGGUUUUUCUAGACCCGAGGUAAUGGUUAAUAGA